AAAAUUAUUUAGUGACUUUUAGGGACCAAAAAAAUUAACACGUAUGUUCACUUAGACACUUGACCCGCGUGUUUGAGGUGGGUAAAAGUUGGAGACGAAUUAGUUUGGUUGCUAAAGGUUGUCAAAUACGCGAUAUAAGAAUCGAUCUUCACUAGGACUUAAUCGAUCUCAGCUGUUUACUCUGUCUAGGACUCAAUCGAUCUUCAACUUCGAUAGAUCUUUAGCUUCAAUCUGAAUCGAUCUUUGUGCCGCCUCAUAUCCGAAUCGAUCUUUACUUCAAUCGGAAUCCAUCUUUGUACUGAUCUCAACUUCAAUCGAUCUUACCUAUUGUAACUUUAAUCCGAAUCGAUUAAGAUCUCAGCUUCAAUCCGAAUCGAUCGUUGAAGAUCUGAGUUCUUUGGCUUCAAUCGAAAGAUAUAUAUAAGUUUGAGUAAAUGGAUUUGGUUUCUAACAGAGAUCGUAGUAAUUUGGAUUCAACAGCGAUUUGGCUGGAAGAAAGCAGUUAAGGCACAUGUAGUGAUUAUUAUCUCAACUAUUUUCAUGGGUAUUAGUUGAAAUCCGUGAAUGGUUAUGACUUCAAAUGACAGCCCUUGGAGGGGAGGGGGAAGUCUAACCCCAAUGGUUAUCUACUGUAUUAUUUCAAUUCAAAUCCUCUCUGCCCUUAGAUCUCACGCUGCUGCAAUAAGGAUUGUAGGAGAAUUACGUGCCCUGUUCUCUGUACACUUUUUAUCUGGCAGCGCUUGAAAGUCAACCCAAUUUUGUAUUUUGUAGGUUUAUUACCGAUUUCUGUCCAGUAGCUGAAAUGGAGCUUUGGACCCUGUGAGAUUACUGAUAAAUGAUUGAGAAGAUGGCUUCGACAAUGCUCUCUCUUGCCUCAGCUUCGGCAAGAUAAUCGCAAGCAACUAAACUAGAACAUUAAGGCUAUGUUCGGGAACAUGCUAAAUUAGCCAAAAAGGUUGAACACUGACUUAAUGAACUUUGUGAAGAAUUGAGUGAACGUCUUCAUUCUAACCUGGAGUAGAAUAAGCAAAUUGCACAUACACUCACUUUGCAUGCUAGAGCUUUCAAGGUAUAUGGCAUAUAUUAUGAACACUAAUGAUGAGGAGAAAGUUAAGGAUUUUCAUCCUUUCUCUAUGGCUAUAGACGGUGAUAAGCUUUUGUGAUCGUGGAACAACUAGGGCAUGUUGCUCUUGUAACUGAACUUGUGAAGAGGUGGGUACGAGAGAAAGACAAAGUUGAAGUCGUCAUAGAGUUCUAACUCAUACAAUGUUGAACUAUUUUGAUCUUAUUUUGGGAUUUAACUCAUAUAAUGAACUAUGUUGAAGUGAAUUUGGAUACUUAAAGUUUUGAUUUUUGUAAUUUGUUUUUUGUAUAUACAUGAAUAGAUUUGAUCUUGUGAGUUUUUUUUAUCUUU
Non-coding RNA from Camellia sinensis, 1414 nucleotides. The record is from RefSeq and is a predicted model, not a curated record. NCBI's taxonomy places the organism in Eukaryota, Viridiplantae, Streptophyta, Magnoliopsida, Ericales, Theaceae.